UACGAGAGGUACAAGUGUUGUUCGGAAUUAUUGGGUGUAAAGGGUGCGUAGACGGCUUAAUAAGUUACAGGUAAAAAAUGGGGCUCAACCCCAUUAACCCUGAUAAUACUGUUAGGCUUGAGGAUGGGAGAAGUAAUUGGAAUUUCUAGUGUAAUCGUGAAAAGUGUUGAUAUUAGAAGGAACGCCAAAAGCGAAGGCAAAUUACUAUAACAUACCUGACGUUGAGGCACGAAAGCGUGGGGAGCAAACGGG
Molecule: ribosomal RNA, 252 nt
Filed under: uncultured bacterium
Lineage: Bacteria
Description: partial 16S ribosomal RNA
Rfam family: Bacterial small subunit ribosomal RNA
Source: RNAcentral